GCCUACCUGAUGAGUCCUAAAAAGGACGAAACCGAUCGUGGUUUGUCGAAGAC
This 53-nucleotide non-coding RNA is filed under the name Opisthorchis viverrini. The record is from RNAcentral. Lineage: Eukaryota; Metazoa; Platyhelminthes; Trematoda; Opisthorchiida; Opisthorchiidae.